Molecule: ribosomal RNA, 433 nt
Filed under: uncultured bacterium
Lineage: Bacteria
Description: partial 16S ribosomal RNA
Rfam family: Bacterial small subunit ribosomal RNA
Source: RNAcentral
AGCGAACGCUGGCGGCAGGCCUAACACAUGCAAGUCGAACGAACUCUUCGGAGUUAGUGGCGGACGGGUGGGUAACACGUGGGAACGUGCCUUUAGGUUCGGAAUAACUCAGGGAAACUUGUGCUAAUACCGAAUGUGCCCUUCCGGGGAAAGAUUUAUCGCCUUUAGAGCGGCCCGCGUCCGAUUAGCUAGUUGGUGAGGUAAAGGCGCACCAAGGCGACGAUCAGUAGCUGGUCUGAGAGGAUGAUCAGCCACAUUGGGACUGAGACACGGCCCAAACUCCUACGGGAGGCAGCAGUGGGGAAUCUUGCGCAAUGGGCGAAAGCCUGACGCAGCCAUGCCGCGUGAAUGAUGAAGGUCUUAGGAUUGUAAAAUUCUUUCACCGGGGACGAUAAUGACGGUACCCGGAGAAGAAGCCCCGGCUAACUUCGUG